GUUACAAGAAUGUGAAGACAUCUUUCUUGACAAGUAUCAUGUUAUCCUGCCAGAGCUCCAGUGGCACAAGAGUGCUCAUGUCCUAUGGCUCCACUCUCAGGCUCUACUAGGGUGCAUCUCAGUGAACAGCAAAGCUCCAGCUGCUGCCAGCCUGGCCACACGGUGUGGAGCAGCUCUCUGGAGAAGGCAAGGGGACAGCUGCACCACCAAGAAAUGAGAAGAGCUGAGCAGCAAAUUCUACCCCCUGAGGAAGAGAUCUGGAUUUUGAAUCUUACUGCCAAAUGUCCGGUCAAGACCACUGUUACACAACAGUGA
Molecule: long non-coding RNA, 315 nt
Filed under: Cyanistes caeruleus (blue tit)
Lineage: Eukaryota; Metazoa; Chordata; Aves; Passeriformes; Paridae
Description: lncRNA (ENSCCEG00000022816.1)
Source: RNAcentral